UGCAGUCGAACGAUGAAGCUCCAGCUUGCUGGGGUGGAUUAGUGGCGAACGGGUGAGUAACACGUGAGUAACCUGCCCUUGACUCUGGGAUAAGCCUUGGAAACGGGGUCUAAUACCGGAUAGGAGCAUUCACCGCAUGGUGGGUGUUGGAAAGAAUUUCGGUCUUGGAUGGACUCGCGGCCCAUCAGCUUGUUGGUGAGGUAAUGGCUCACCAAGGCGACGACGGGUAGCCGGCCUGAGAGGGUGACCGGCCACACUGGGACUGAGACACGGCCCAGACUCCUACGGGAGGCAGCAGUGGGGAAUAUUGCACAAUGGGCGCAAGCCUGAUGCAGCGACGCCGCGUGAGGGAUGACGGCCUUCGGGUUGUAAACCUCUUUCAGUAGGGAAGAAGCGAAAGUGACGGUACCUGCAGAAGAAGCACCGGCUAACUACGUGCCAGCAGCCGCGGUAAUACGUAGGGUGCGAGCGUUAUCCGGAAUUAUUGGGCGUAAAGAGCUCGUAGGCGGUUUGUCGCGUCUGCCGUGAAAGUCCGGGGCUUAACUCCGGAUCUGCGGUGGGUACGGGCAGACUAGAGUGCAGUAGGGGAGACUGGAAUUCCUGGUGUAGCGGUGGAAUGCGCAGAUAUCAGGAGGAACACCGAUGGCGAAGGCAGGUCUCUGGGCUGUAACUGACGCUGAGGAGCGAAAGCAUGGGGAGCGAACAGGAUUAGAUACCCUGGUAGUCCAUGCCGUAAACGUUGGGCACUAGGUGUGGGGGCCAUUCCACGGUUUCCGCGCCGCAGCUAACGCAUUAAGUGCCCCGCCUGGGGAGUACGGCCGCAAGGCUAAAACUCAAAGGAAUUGACGGGGGCCCGCACAAGCGGCGGAGCAUGCGGAUUAAUUCGAUGCAACGCGAAGAACCUUACCAAGGCUUGACAUGUUCUCGUUCGCCGUAGAGAUACGGUUUCCCCUUUGGGGCGGGUUCACAGGUGGGUGCAUGGUUGUCGUCAGCUCGUGUCCUGAGAUGUUUGGGUUAAGUCCCGCAACGAGCGCAAC
This 1037-nucleotide ribosomal RNA is filed under the name Micrococcus sp. NCCP-2065. Its description in RNAcentral is "bacterial SSU rRNA". It matches the Rfam family "Bacterial small subunit ribosomal RNA", at positions 56 to 1102 of the family's 1533-position model. Lineage: Bacteria; Bacillati; Actinomycetota; Actinomycetes; Micrococcales; Micrococcaceae. The record is from RNAcentral.